GGGCGGGUGUCGACGUGUUUGUGAAAAAGGGAAAGGCAGAGGGGAGAGCAGCGCUUCAGCGUGUGGAUACGCGGAGAGGGCUGAUGGUUAGAGGACAUGUAAGUGGCGUCGGCCUCAGCUCCCCAAAGCUGUAGGCUUUGGCUGGGAGAGGCGUGGCGCACUCUGCCCCUCCAAACCGAAAACCACCUGUAUGGAUGUCCAGACCUACAGUGUGAACCAGUCGCCCUCGUCCGUCAGGCACAGGGGCAGGAACGCGACCGACAGCCAGGGUUAUGUCGAGGUUGAGGAGGGCGUCAUGACGGUGGAAAACAUGCUGGAGGAGUCCGCCGUGCUCUCGGCGCCUCACCUGUCGGUGGAUCGAUAUGAGCGCGGCCGCCAGGGAUGCUGCGAGAGGGUGGUGAUCAACAUUUCGGGUUUACGCUUCGAGACGCAACUUAAAACUUUCAACCAGUUCCCAGACACGCUGCUGGGGGACCCCAGGAAAAGGAUGCGCUACUUUGACCCACUGAGGAACGAGUACUUCUUUGACAGGAACAGACCGAGCUUUGAUGCCAUCCUCUACUACUAUCAGUCAGGGGGGCGCAUACGGAGACCUGUUAACGUCCCCAUUGAUAUUUUCUCCGAGGAGAUCAAGUUUUAUCAACUCGGGGAGGAGGCCAUGGAGAAAUUCCGUGAUGAUGAAGGGUUUAUAAAAGAAGAGGAGCGCAUAUUGCCCAAAUAUGAUUUCCAAAAGCAGGUUUGGCUUUUGUUUGAGUAUCCUGAGAGCUCUGGGCCAGCAAGGGGAAUAGCCAUCGUUUCAGUGCUUGUUAUUUUGAUUUCAAUUGUUAUUUUCUGCAUGGAAACUCUGCCGGAAUUUCGGGAUGAAAUAGACCAAGCCACACUGGCACCCGCGAUCAAUGGCACCGCUCUCCAUGUGCAAAGCCCGUUCACAGACCCCUUCUUUGUGAUAGAGACUCUGUGCAUCAUAUGGUUCUCUUUCGAGUUGCUGGUCAGGUUUUUCGCCUGCCCCAGCAAAACUUCCUUCUCCAAAAACAUCAUGAAUAUCAUUGACAUCGUCGCCAUAAUCCCCUACUUUAUCACUUUGGGGACUGAGCUGGCGGAGAGGCAGACCAACAGCGGCCAACAGGCGAUGUCCCUCGCCAUCCUGAGGGUGAUAAGACUGGUGAGGGUCUUUCGCAUUUUUAAGCUGUCACGACAUUCAAAGGGUCUUCAGAUUUUGGGACAGACCCUCAAGGCCAGCAUGAGGGAGCUCGGCUUGCUUAUAUUUUUCCUGUUCAUCGGGGUUAUUCUCUUCUCCAGCGCGGUUUACUUUGCCGAAGCAGACGACCCUUCGUCCAGUUUCACCAGCAUCCCAGAUGCGUUUUGGUGGGCAGUGGUCACCAUGACCACAGUCGGAUAUGGAGACAUGCAUCCGGUGACCAUUGGUGGGAAAAUAGUGGGAUCCCUGUGCGCAAUAGCAGGCGUACUGACCAUUGCCUUACCCGUGCCAGUGAUUGUGUCCAAUUUCAACUACUUUUACCACAGGGAAACUGAUGGAGAGGAGCACCCACAGUACGUGCACACUGAAAGCUGCGAGCACCUCCCCUCGGAGGAACUGAGGAGGUCGUGCAGCUCCUCAUCCCUCAGCAAGUCUGAGUACAUGGUGAUCGAGGAGGGCAUCAACAGUGCGUUCAAACAGACCAACUUCACCACCGAAAACAACCAGAACUGCGUGAACAUCAAAAAGAUCUUCACAGAUGUAGACCCGUCUUUGCUGAGUGUUCAGUUUCACCCACAGACCAAGAACGACGUCAGUCCUGCCCUUGCUGCCAUGUAGCUCACAGCUCCAGGUGCUCUGCCUCAGAACUGCUGAGUGGUUUUGUUCCCUCUGUCUCCCCUGCUGGAAUUCAAGUCCUUCUUCAAUGUAUUUUUAACCAGGGGAAAUGAAAACGUGUCUGUGAGUUACCCAGCACUGUUAUUUGUCUCCUGUAGAGCUCGACGGCAGUGCUGGCACGGAACACCUGGAGUUCAGCCUGUCUUGUUCUGGUUUGUUGAGAGGGCUGAAUAUCAAACUGCAGGGCCAAAUGACCAGAUGCUGUUGUGGCAGUGAAAUAAUGUGAAUAAUGGACUUGGAUUCAUC
RNA transcript from Scatophagus argus, 2119 nucleotides. It is a transcript of the gene named potassium voltage-gated channel, shaker-related subfamily, member 3a, with no coding region annotated. The record is from RefSeq and is a predicted model, not a curated record. NCBI's taxonomy places the organism in Eukaryota, Metazoa, Chordata, Actinopteri, Scatophagidae. The transcript has 3 exons.